RNAcentral lists this unclassified non-coding RNA (166 nucleotides) under uncultured Ascomycota. RNAcentral describes it as "sequence contains ITS2". The record is from RNAcentral. Lineage: Eukaryota; Fungi; Ascomycota.
CAAACCUCAAGCCCUGGCUGCUUGGUGUUGGGGCAGAUCCUGCGAAGACCGCAGGCCCCGAAUGCAAUCGGCGGGCCCGUCCGCGACCCCGAGCGUAGUAACACUUCGUCUCGCCCAGGGCGUCCGGCGGGCAUAUCCGGCCGCUAAAAUAAAUAUUACCUUCAUA